RNAcentral lists this ribosomal RNA (253 nucleotides) under uncultured bacterium. Its description in RNAcentral is "partial 16S ribosomal RNA". It matches the Rfam family "Bacterial small subunit ribosomal RNA", at positions 524 to 776 of the family's 1533-position model. The record is from RNAcentral.
UACGAAGGGUGCAAGCGUUACUCGGAAUUACUGGGCGUAAAGCGUGCGUAGGUGGUUUGUUAAGUCUGUUGUGAAAGCCCCGGGCUCAACCUGGGAAUGGCAAUGGAUACUGGCAAGCUAGAGUGCGGUAGAGGGUAGUGGAAUUCCCGGUGUAGCGGUGAAAUGCGUAGAGAUCGGGAGGAACACCAGUGGCGAAGGCGGUUCUCUGGGCCUGACCUGACGCUGAGGAGCGAAAGCGUGGGGAGCGAACAGG